AUUGAACGCUGGCGGCAGGCUUAACACAUGCAAGUCGAGCGGGGUGAUGGUGCUUGCACUAUCACUUAGCGGCGGACGGGUGAGUAAUGCUUAGGAAUCCGCCUAUUAGUGGGGGACAACAUCUCGAAAGGGAUGCUAAUACCGCAUACGUCCUACGGGAGAAAGCAGGGGAUCACUUGUGACCUUGCGCUAAUAGAUGAGCCUAAGUCGGAUUAGCUAGUUGGUGGGGUAAAGGCCUACCAAGGCGACGAUCUGUAGCGGGUCUGAGAGGAUGAUCCGCCACACUGGGACUGAGACACGGCCCAGACUCCUACGGGAGGCAGCAGUGGGGAAUAUUGGACAAUGGUGGGAACCCUGAUCCAGCCAUGCCGCGUGUGUGAAGAAGGCCUUAUGGUUGUAAAGCACUUUAAGCGAGGAGGAGGCUCUUUUGGUUAAUACCCAAGAUGAGUGGACGUUACUCGCAGAAUAAGCACCGGCUAACUCUGUGCCAGCCGCCGCGGUAA
This 503-nucleotide ribosomal RNA is filed under the name uncultured bacterium. RNAcentral's name for it is "partial 16S ribosomal RNA". It matches the Rfam family "Bacterial small subunit ribosomal RNA", at positions 30 to 523 of the family's 1533-position model. The record is from RNAcentral.